This 1894-nucleotide long non-coding RNA is filed under the name Marmota monax (woodchuck). The record is from RNAcentral. Lineage: Eukaryota; Metazoa; Chordata; Mammalia; Rodentia; Sciuridae.
AAAACAUCAGGUGUUUUUUUUCAGUAUUGUGGCUUGAAACCAGGGCCUGGUGCAUGCUAGGCAAGCACUCUGUCACUUAAUUAUAUACCCAGUCAGCAUCAGCUGAUUUUAUAAUGCAACCAGAGCUGAGGAUCUAGUUUAAGUUAAAGAUAGAAAAAAUAUUUUUACAUUCUCAUAAGGGCACUUUUGUCAAGAAAAUGUAGUGUUAUAGGAGUCAUAGGAGGAAAGCUUACUUGUCCUUUUCUAGAAACUGAAGCUAAGUAGUAGAAUUUGGAUGUAAUUUAUUGAUUUACUUUGAAUUUUUAUUCAUUCAAAUUAAACUAAGUCAGGUUAAAAAUUUUCAUAGAUCAUUCUUACACACCAAUUUUAUUUUGAACAAUACUGCAUUAUAAUUCUUCCUUUCUAAUUUAGUGUUGUGCCUCUGAGGACUUCUAAACUCUCCAUAAAAUUGUGUUCUGGUUUGAGGGGAGAAAUGUAGUUAUAACAAAGACAGAUGAGAGUUCCAUAUAUAGGUUAACAGCAUACUUGAACUAGACUAAUGACAAACCCUAGAUAAUAAACAAAAUACAGACUCCCAACUGAUAGUUUAAAAGUCAAUGGUGAAUCUUGAAACAUGACCUAUUCUAUUUUAGUUGGCCCUCCGUCCUCUUUAUUGUUUGUGGGUAUACUUAGUGAUAAGCCAGCAGCAUCAGCAAAGAACUUCUAAAAUCAACAUAAGUCCCCUUUCUGCCAUAUGAUUACACAUAUUACCUCAUCAAGCACCCCAAGAAUAUACCAGUUUCUGGAGAAUAAGCAGUAUAUUUUAACUAAGACCUAUGAACUAUCUUUUUUGUACCAGGGACACUUAAACACUAAGCCACAUCCCAUCCCUUUUUUAUUUUGAGAAAGGGUCUUGCUAAGUUGCUGAAGCUGGCCUUGAGCUUGUGAUUCUCCUGCCUCAGCCUACGGAGCUGCUGGGAUUAAAGGCAUGAACCACCAUACCCGGAGAUCUUUGCAUUCUUACAACACGAAGUAAAAUGGGAGUUGAAGUGGGGAAGCAUAAUGAGAUGGAAGAAUAUAGAAAGGAGACUGGUAAAAUAUAAAGAACAAAAUUAAAGGACAGAUAUUUUGUCAAAAUAUCAGGAUCUUUGAGAUUCUGACAUGUGAUUAGCUUCAGAACAAGAGCUGGAGCCUCAGUCUAUGAGAUGCUGUACUAGAAGUUCCUUAACAUUUUUUUUAAAAAAGGAAUUAGGUUUGUUUGCCUCUAAAACAGGUGUUUUUACAGAAAACCUUACUGAAAAAAUUGUCUCUUUUUAUCCAGAUAAAACAAAAAUAAUUUCUAGUUGGUUUACUACACUUCCACAAUUUCUUCUGGAGAGAGUAAUGUUGAGGAUUAAAAACACUCUCCCAGGCUGGAAUGGCAGUCUUAUGAAGCUCAUAUAUAUUUGACUGUAAAAUGCUGGCAGUCUUUGAGUUAUCUGUUCUCGCUCUCAGAGGAAAUGACAUCCUCCCUGGAAAGAAGAAUCUUCUGAACAACUAAAGAGUCCACCUUCAGCUCCAGUGUUGACAGGCAGUGUGGCUGAUGGUUGUAUGUUGACUGAGCAGGUCCUCUGGUGAAGAAUGAGCAUAAAAACAGAAGUGUUUUAAAUUCUGAAAUUUAUCUCACUGUGUUGAACAAUAACUGAAGUAUUGUUUAGACUAAGUAAUAUAUCCUCAAGUUCAGUAGACUUUAAAAUACCUACCUCUAGCUGUAGUUUGAUUAUUUCACUUUGUUUUUCCUUUUCUUGAGUUCUUAACUUUGCAUUUAACUCUGAUAUUUCCAUCUCCUUUUUCUCUAUUAGUUCCUUGUGCUUUUCUUCAUUUAAUUCAACUGAAUAAAACAAAAAUCCAUUCACUUAACAUUUCAAAAAUAUUA